CCCUUAGACGUUCUGGGCCGCACGCGCGCUACACUGACGAAGGCAACGAGCUUUCCUUUACCGAAAGGUACGGGUAAUCUUUUGAAACUUCGUCGUGCUGGGGAUAGAUCCUUGCAAUUUUUGAUCUUAAACGAGGAAUGCCUAGUAAGCGCAAGUCAUCAACUUGCGUUGAUUACGUCCCUGCCCUUUGUGCACACCGCCCGUCGCUACUACCGAUUGAAUGGUUUAGUGAGGCCUUCGGAUCCGCGACUCGUUUGUGGAGAAGUUGGACAAACUCAGUCAUUUAGAGGAAGUAAAAGUCGUAACA
This 307-nucleotide ribosomal RNA is filed under the name uncultured eukaryote. RNAcentral's name for it is "partial 18S ribosomal RNA". It matches the Rfam family "Eukaryotic small subunit ribosomal RNA", at positions 1470 to 1796 of the family's 1831-position model. The record is from RNAcentral.